Molecule: small RNA, 723 nt
Filed under: Pan troglodytes (chimpanzee)
Lineage: Eukaryota; Metazoa; Chordata; Mammalia; Primates; Hominidae
Description: processed transcript
Source: RNAcentral
GCAGAGCCAUGGCCCUCUUCUUUGUUCUCUGCUGGAUCCAAGAGUCGGGGUCUCCCUAUGUUUCCCAGGCUGGCCUCGAACUCCUGACCUCAAGUGAUCCUCCCACCUCAGCCUCCCAGAGUGCUGGGAUUAAAGACGUGAGCCACGGCACCUGGCCUGAAUUUUCCUCAAAUUCAAAAAAUGCUGAUGAAGGUUUGGCUAAAAUCUUUGGCUCUUCCCAACAAAAGAGCUUGAACAAUGCUGCAUUUGCCUCAGGUUCAAAUGAGCGAGAGGAACAUUUGGCUAAAAUAUUUGAUGAAAUUCUACUGCAGGUGUUUCCAAAGUUUCCGUAUGACCCAUCAUUUAACGAAGCAACAGCAGUCAGAUCCAUUACAAAGACAGACAUGAGAAAAGGAACCAGCGUUGCUUGGAAUUCUCCUAAACCAGAAUAUUUCCUUGGCAGUGUGGACAAAAUUCCUGAUAAAGAUCACCUUUCAGAGGAGAAGAAUUUUAAAGAAUCCUGUCUGUUCCACAGGGAUUUAAGAGAGCAGUUAACUACUGUAGAUAAAGAAACACUUCAAGGAGCAGCUAAACCAGAUCUCCUCUGGCAAACACGACAUAUAAUAUUUUUAUGAUGGAUGGAAAGACAUGGUGGCACAAUUCUGAAGAAAAAAAUUUCACAAAACAUGCAAAGAAACAGAAACAGUUGAAGAGCAGCUCCUGUGUCUAAGCCAGGUCCUGGGG